UGGGGAAUAUUGCACAAUGGGCGCAAGCCUGAUGCAGCCAUGCCGCGUGUAUGAAGAAGGCCUUCGGGUUGUAAAGUACUUUCAGUCGGGAGGAAGGUGGUAAGGUUAAUAACCUUGGCAAUUGACGUUACCGACAGAAGAAGCACCGGCUAACUCCGUGCCAGCAGCCGCGGUAAUACGGAGGGUGCAAGCGUUAAUCGGAAUUACUGGGCGUAAAGCGCACGCAGGCGGUUGAUUGAGUCAGAUGUGAAAUCCCCGGGCUUAACCCGGGAAUUGCAUCUGAUACUGGUCAGCUAGAGUCUUGUAGAGGGGGGUAGAAUUCCAUGUGUAGCGGUGAAGUGCGUAGAGAUGUGGAGGAAUACCGGUGGCGAAGGCGGCCCCCUGGACGAAGACUGACGCUCAGGUGCGAAAGCGUGGGGAGCAAACAGG
This 429-nucleotide ribosomal RNA is filed under the name Chloroflexota bacterium. RNAcentral's name for it is "Chloroflexi bacterium partial 16S ribosomal RNA". It matches the Rfam family "Bacterial small subunit ribosomal RNA", at positions 355 to 776 of the family's 1533-position model. Lineage: Bacteria; Bacillati; Chloroflexota. The record is from RNAcentral.